This 465-nucleotide ribosomal RNA is filed under the name uncultured bacterium. RNAcentral's name for it is "partial 16S ribosomal RNA". It matches the Rfam family "Bacterial small subunit ribosomal RNA", at positions 28 to 507 of the family's 1533-position model. The record is from RNAcentral.
GACGAACGCUGGCGGCGUGCUUAACACAUGCAAGUCGUACGGUAAGGCCCUUUCGGGGGUACACGAGUGGCGAACGGGUGAGUAACACGUGAGUAACCUGCCCACAACUUUGGGAUAACGCUAGGAAACUGGUGCUAAUACUGGAUAUGUGCUCCUGCUGCAUGGUGGGGGUUGGAAAGCUCCGGCGGUUGUGGAUGGACUCGCGGCCUAUCAGCUUGUUGGUGGGGUAGUGGCCUACCAAGGCGGCGACGGGUAGCCGGCCUGAGAGGGUGACCGGCCACAUUGGGACUAAGAUACGGCCCAGACUCCUACGGGAGGCAGCAGUGGGGAAUAUUGCACAAUGGGCGCAAGCCUGAUGCAGCAACGCCGCGUGCGGGAUGACGGCCUUCGGGUUGUAAACCGCUUUCAGCAGGGACGAAGCUUUUUGUGGCGGUACCUGCAGAAGAAGCACCGGCUAACUACGUG